UACGUAGGGGGCUAGCGUUGUCCGGAAUCAUUGGGCGUAAAGCGCGCGUAGGCGGCCCGGCAAGUCCGCUGUAAAAGUCAAAGGCUCAACCUUUGAAUGUCAGUGGAUACUGCCGGGCUAGAGUCCGGAAGAGGCGAGUGGAACUCCUGGUGUAGCGGUGGAAUGCGCAGAUAUCAGGAAGAACACCGACGGCGAAGGCAGCUCGCUGGGACGGUACUGACGCUGAGGCGCGAAAGCGUGGGGAGCGAACAGG
Molecule: ribosomal RNA, 253 nt
Filed under: uncultured bacterium
Lineage: Bacteria
Description: partial 16S ribosomal RNA
Rfam family: Bacterial small subunit ribosomal RNA
Source: RNAcentral